Triticum aestivum (bread wheat) is the source of this 169-nucleotide non-coding RNA. Lineage: Eukaryota; Viridiplantae; Streptophyta; Magnoliopsida; Poales; Poaceae. The record is from Rfam.
GUUUUACUCCCUCCGUCCGAAAAUACUUGUCAUCAAAAUGGACAAAAAGGGAUGCAUCUAGAAGUUCUAGAUGCAUCCCUUUUUGUCCAAGGGAUGCAUCUAGAAGUUCUAGAUGCAUCCCUUUUUGUCCAUUUUGAUGACAAGUAUUUUCGGACGGAGGGAGUAUUUC